Molecule: transfer RNA, 30 nt
Filed under: Datura inoxia (sacred datura)
Lineage: Eukaryota; Viridiplantae; Streptophyta; Magnoliopsida; Solanales; Solanaceae
Also listed under: 15 other names
Description: partial tRNA-His
Source: RNAcentral
CGGAUGUAGCCAAGUGGAUCAAGGCAGUGG